GUGGGGAAUAUUGGACAAUGGGCGAAAGCCUGAUCCAGCCAUGCCGCGUGUGUGAAGAAGGUCUUCGGAUUGUAAAGCACUUUAAGUUGGGAGGAAGGGUAGUAACCUAAUACGUUGCUACUUUGACGUUACCGACAGAAUAAGCACCGGCUAACUUCGUGCCAGCAGCCGCGGUAAUACGAAGGGUGCAAGCGUUAAUCGGAAUUACUGGGCGUAAAGCGCGCGUAGGUGGUUCAGUAAGUUGGAAGUGAAAUCCCCGGGCUCAACCUGGGAACUGCUUUCAAAACUGCUGAGCUAGAGUACGGUAGAGGGUGGUGGAAUUUCCUGUGUAGCGGUGAAAUGCGUAGAUAUAAGAAGGAACACCAGUGGCGAAGGCGACCACCUGGACUGAUACUGACACUGAGGUGCGAAAGCGUGGGGAGCAAACAGGAUUAGAUACCCGGUAGUCC
Molecule: ribosomal RNA, 449 nt
Filed under: uncultured bacterium
Lineage: Bacteria
Description: partial 16S ribosomal RNA
Rfam family: Bacterial small subunit ribosomal RNA
Source: RNAcentral